GAUGAGCAUGCGUCCCAUUAGCUAGUUGGUAAGGUAACGGCUUACCAAGGCUACGAUGGGUAGGGGUCCUGAGAGGGAGAUCCCCCACACUGGUACUGAGACACGGACCAGACUCCUACGGGAGGCAGCAGUGAGGAAUAUUGGACAAUGGGCGCAAGCCUGAUCCAGCCAUGCCGCGUGCAGGAUGACGGUCCUAUGGAUUGUAGACUGCUUUUAUACGAGAAGAAACACUCCUUCGUGAAGGAGCUUGACGGUAUCGUAAGAAUAAGGAUCGGCUAACUCCGUGCCAGCAGCCGCGGUAAUACGGAGGAUCCAAGCGUUAUCCGGAAUCAUUGGGUUUAAAGGGUCCGUAGGCGGUUUAAUAAGUCAGUGGUGAAAGCCCAUCGCUCAACGGUGGAACGGCCAUUGAUACUGUUAGACUUGAAUUAUUAGGAAGUAACUAGAAUAUGUAGUGUAGCGGUGAAAUGCUUAGAGAUUACAUGGAAUACCAAUUGCGAAGGCAGGUUACUACUAAUUGAUUGACGCUGAUGGA
Molecule: ribosomal RNA, 532 nt
Filed under: uncultured bacterium
Lineage: Bacteria
Description: bacterial SSU rRNA
Rfam family: Bacterial small subunit ribosomal RNA
Source: RNAcentral